RNAcentral lists this ribosomal RNA (480 nucleotides) under uncultured bacterium. Its description in RNAcentral is "partial 16S ribosomal RNA". It matches the Rfam family "Bacterial small subunit ribosomal RNA", at positions 28 to 523 of the family's 1533-position model. The record is from RNAcentral.
GACGAACGCUGGCGGCGUGCCUAACACAUGCAAGUCGAGCGAGUGGAUCUCCUUCGGGAGUGAAGCUAGCGGCGGACGGGUGAGUAACACGUGGGCAACCUGCCUCAUAGAGGGGAAUAGCCUUUCGAAAGGAAGAUUAAUACCGCAUAAGAUUGUAGCUUCGCAUGAAGUAGCAAUUAAAGGUGCAAUCCGCUAUGAGAUGGGCCCGCGGCGCAUUAGCUAGUUGGUGAGGUAACGGCUCACCAAGGCGACGAUGCGUAGCCGACCUGAGAGGGUGAUCGGCCACAUUGGGACUGAGACACGGCCCAGACUCCUACGGGAGGCAGCAGUGGGGAAUAUUGCACAAUGGGGGAAACCCUGAUGCAGCAACGCCGCGUGAGUGAUGACGGCCUUCGGGUUGUAAAGCUCUGUCUUCAGGGACGAUAAUGACGGUACCUGAGGAGGAGGCCACGGCUAACUACGUGCCAGCAGCCGCCGUAA